RNAcentral lists this non-coding RNA (21 nucleotides) under Arabidopsis thaliana (thale cress). The record is from RNAcentral. Lineage: Eukaryota; Viridiplantae; Streptophyta; Magnoliopsida; Brassicales; Brassicaceae.
ACUAGCCUCUCAUGUGGUAUG